AUUGAACGCUGGCGGCAUGCUUUACACAUGCAAGUCGAGCGGCAGCGCGGGCUUCGGCCUGGCGGCGAGUGGCGAACGGGUGAGUAAUGCAUCGGAACGUGCCCAGUAGUGGGGGAUAGCCCAGCGAAAGCCGGAUUAAUACCGCAUACGACCUGAGGGUGAAAGCGGGGGACCGAAAGGCCUCGCGCUAUUGGAGCGGCCGAUGUCGGAUUAGCUAGUUGGUGGGGUAAAGGCUUACCAAGGCGACGAUCCGUAGCUGGUCUGAGAGGACGACCAGCCACACUGGGACUGAGACACGGCCCAGACUCCUACGGGAGGCAGCAGUGGGGAAUUUUGGACAAUGGGGGCAACCCUGAUCCAGCCAUGCCGCGUGCGGGAAGAAGGCCUUCGGGUUGUAAACCGCUUUUGUUCGGGAAGAAAUCCUAUGGGCUAAUACCCCGGGGGGAUGACGGUACCGGAAGAAUAAGCACCGGCUAACUACGUG
This 484-nucleotide ribosomal RNA is filed under the name uncultured bacterium. RNAcentral describes it as "partial 16S ribosomal RNA". It matches the Rfam family "Bacterial small subunit ribosomal RNA", at positions 29 to 507 of the family's 1533-position model. The record is from RNAcentral.